AUGGCGACGGUGCAGGCGGUGGCCAAAGGGACCCUGGUCUCGCCGUGCGGCAACCGGGCCGCAGGAUUUGGUGCCCGGCGGCGCGGUGCCGUGGCGGCCCGCAUGUCGCCCUGCGCGCCGGCGGCGGUGCAGAUCGGCAGGAAGAGCCUGUUUCUUGGCGCCAGGCUCACGGUCGGUCCCAGGAGAACGAAGCUCGUUCCUCGGAAUCUAGUCGCCUCACCGAUGCAGAUGAAUCUUGCGUUUGCGAAAUCCACCAAGUGGUGGGAAAAGGGUCUGCAGCCCAACAUGAGGGAGAUUGAGUCCGCCCAGGACCUCGUCGACUCGCUGGCCAACGCCGGCGACAGGCUCGUCGUCGUUGACUUCUUCUCCCCUGGCUGCGGCGGCUGCCGUGCCCUCCACCCCAAGAUUUGCCAGUUUGCUGAACAGAACCCAGAUGUGCUCUUCUUGCAAGUGAACUACGAGGAACACAAGUCCAUGUGCUACAGCCUCCAUGUCCAUGUUCUGCCCUUCUUCAGGUUCUACAGGGGAGCCCAGGGCCGCCUCUGCAGCUUCAGCUGUACUAACGCAACCAUAAAGAAGUUCAGGGAUGCGCUUGCCAAGCACAAUCCGGAUAGGUGUAGCAUUGGCCCAACCAGGGGCCUCGAGGAGUCUGAGCUGCUGGCCUUGGCUGCGAACAAGGACCUGGAAUUCACCUACACGAAGCAGCCAGAACCAGUUCCGAGUGGAGACAGGGAGGUCAUUGCUCCUGGGAGCCCAAGGCUUCCUCCACCGGCAAAACCAUUGGUUCGGCAGGGGUCCGGAGAGAGGACCUUGGUCUCAUCAGGAAGAUGA
Molecule: ribosomal RNA, 831 nt
Filed under: Triticum aestivum (bread wheat)
Lineage: Eukaryota; Viridiplantae; Streptophyta; Magnoliopsida; Poales; Poaceae
Description: partial small subunit ribosomal RNA
Source: RNAcentral